This 253-nucleotide ribosomal RNA is filed under the name uncultured bacterium. RNAcentral describes it as "partial 16S ribosomal RNA". It matches the Rfam family "Bacterial small subunit ribosomal RNA", at positions 524 to 776 of the family's 1533-position model. The record is from RNAcentral.
UACGAACUGUGCGAACGUUAUUCGGAAUCACUGGGCUUACAGGGUGCGUAGGCGGCUUGUUAAGUAGGGUGUGAAAGCCCCCGGCUCAACCGGGGAAUGGCGCCCUAAACUGGCGAGCUGGAGUGAGACAGGGGUGUGUGGAACUUCCGGUGGAGCGGUGAAAUGUGUUGAUAUCGGAAGGAACGCCGGUGGCGAAAGCGACACACUGGGUCUUGUCUGACGCUGAGGCACGAAAGCCAGGGGAGCGAACGGG